GAGGUCUCCAAGCAUUUUCAAAGGAAGCUAACAUGGCAGAUUGAAAAAUUUCCCGUCUUGAGGCUUCAGUGACUAAGUUUGGAGCCAGCCAGAGGAAUCUCACCAUUAAAUGUCGAGUUGAAGUGAAACACAAUACAUCACCUUCCUCGUGGGCUGCCAUUCAGCCACGAGUAACAGAGAUUAGCCUUCAAUCACACGAGGGCUGGAGCUGAAGGAAACCUUCCCGAGGACACGCUGGAGAAACAUUUUCAUUAGCAGAGGAGAACAUGACGGAGAUGAAGUGGCCCUUCACCUCGGCUGCCAGACCUCUCGCCUGCCUGGUGUUAACAGGAAUGCUAACCAAGGAGCUGGGGCCAGCUGCAGUGCUCUGAGUGCUGUCUGCAUCCAGAUCUAGGGAAUUUGUUUGGAACAUCAGAACAAAUGGCUGCUGGUUUUGAUGCAUUCUCAUGUUAAGUUACCUCUCAUGUCGCCCUCCUCCAUUUCAGAACUGAGAGCAGCCAAAAUGAGAGGAAAACAUGGCUCCUGAGCAAUUUUUCCCCCUAUGAUGCCUUCACCUUUCUUGUAUUCCCUUUUCUCCUACGAUCUCAGCUGGCUGAGUUUCACUGCCAGCCUAUUGAAAGGAAAGGCACGUGCUGGCUUGUGGAGGGAGAGAGACCUGAGACAGGAUAAAUCUGUAUGCAAUGAGAAUGGGGGGAAGCAAGUCAGCUGCUCUGACACUUUUAUUAUGGAGCCAGGCUGCUUGGGGAUGAAUCUUUCUUGAAACGUGUUGCUGGAUGACAUUUCUGCCAGGUCUCAGCAGUAACCUUCACCAAGCCUUGCUGCCCAGCCCUGUGCUUGCCUUUUCCUGGGACAAAGAGAAUGAAUAUCCACUGGAAAUGCCACAGGCAGCAGGGAUCAGUGGGGCUUAAUGCACCUCCAGUGAGUCUGAAGGCACCUGGACUUUCUCAGCAGAAGCUCUUCAGGCUUUGGUGACUUCAGCUUAUUGCUGCAUGUGUUGUUUUGCAAAGGAGGUGUGGGCUCCUACAUCUGUUUCUCACUUCAGAAUCAAAGAUGAUGUGGCAGAGACCAAAAUGAAAUUCUCCUCAGAGCUGUCCAGAAGGAUGGAUAACUGCAAGAAAAUAUUAUUCCAUGGCUCUGGAAAAGGAAUAUCUACUUGCUUAGUAACCUGGAGGUGUGAGAAUCGCCUUUGGGAGCAGCGCUUCCUUCUGCUCCUGCUCUGCCUGACCAAGGAUCAGUUCUCUCUCAUCCAUCAUCAGGACACGGCAACAGCCUCCUCCUGCCACCAGCCAGCUGCACGCCUGCAACCAGGCGAGGAGGGAUCUGGAGCUGUGGAGCCACGAGGAAGGCGAGCGAUGGCAGAUUCCUCCGGCAUUUCCACCCCGCGGGGCUCUUGGCGAGCGAGCGCUCGUGUGCUUUGAAAGCUCUUAGUGCUCCUGCAGGUGGGAGCCAAUUUGUCUGCUUUCCUGCCCAGGUGCCAUCUGUUUGUAGGAUUGCCUGUGCGGUGGAUGAGCACGGCGGGGAUGGCGAAGGGAAAAGGGCUGCUGGGGUGGGAGAGAUGAGCCUAAAACUUUCCUUGGGUAUCUUCAGCACUUCUGGCUGCCGUUGUUCCUUCUCCUCUGCACCGCGGCAGGGAAAUCACAGCCUGUCAUUUGCUGUUCCUGGAGCGUGAUGGGGAGCUGAGGCACCGCUAAUAGCGAACCAUCAUUUUAAUGCUAAUUUCCUACCAUUAGCUCAGGCUGGGGGAGGCUCAGCCUGGGUGGAGGGAAGCCAUUAACAGAUGGAGAAAGGGGGGAUGUGUGGGGAUUUGUUCUGCACCCCCAGAAGGGAUUUCCAAAGGGCAGAUGACUAACUACCACUGGGAAAAUUGGUAGGAGGCACUGGGGUCAGUCUGUGGUGGAUGUAUGGGAGGGAGGAAGAGCAUUGGCUUGUUCCAGAUCAUCUUCCUAUAGGGAUUUCUUGAGUGCUUCAGACUUUGGCUUGGAUUUGGUGUUUGCUGCUUGUUGUGUGUCCCUCUGUGCCUUGUGACCCAAGGGAUGCUCAGAGCACUGGCAGGGCUGCAGCUGGUGGCAUCGUUGUCCUUCCAACAAAGGAGACAAGCAGGGCUGGGCUUAGCCUGGACAUUGAUGUUGGGUGAUGGGCUUCAAAGCAAGUUUGAAGCUGUUCUUGAGAUACCCAAGAGCUAAUAAAAAGAACCCUGCCCUUUUGCCA
Molecule: long non-coding RNA, 2208 nt
Organism: Parus major (Great Tit)
Lineage: Eukaryota; Metazoa; Chordata; Aves; Passeriformes; Paridae
Source: Ensembl